GACGUAGGGGGCAAGCGUUGUUCGGAAUUAUUGGGCGUAAAGCGCUCGUAGGCGGGACUGGAAGUCCGUGUUGAAAGACCUCGGCUCAACUGAGGGACCGGCUCGGAUACUCUAGUUCUUGAGGCAAUCAGAGGGUGAUGGAAUUCCCGGUGUAGCGGUGAAAUGCGCAGAUAUCAGGAGGAACACCGAUGGCGAAGGCAGGUCUCUGGGCCACUACUGACGCUGAGAAGCGAAAGCAUGGGGAGCGAACAGG
RNAcentral lists this ribosomal RNA (253 nucleotides) under uncultured bacterium. Its description in RNAcentral is "partial 16S ribosomal RNA". It matches the Rfam family "Bacterial small subunit ribosomal RNA", at positions 524 to 776 of the family's 1533-position model. The record is from RNAcentral.